This 71-nucleotide transfer RNA is filed under the name Nilaparvata lugens yeast-like symbiont. Its description in RNAcentral is "tRNA-Gly (GCC) (tRNA-Gly-GCC-2-1)". It matches the Rfam family "tRNA". From Rfam's summary of the family: Transfer RNA (tRNA) molecules are approximately 80 nucleotides in length. Lineage: Eukaryota; Fungi; Ascomycota. The record is from RNAcentral.
GCGUAAUUGGUUUAGUGGUAAAAUUCUCCGUUGCCAUCGGGGAGUCCUGGGUUCGAUUCCCAGAUUACGCA